AGAAGAUCGGAGGUAAUUGAAUGCCCGGAAACUCCACCGGAGCCAGACAGACCACGGAGGAGUUUCCCGGAUGAUAUACAAACCUAUUUUGAUUGCCAAGAACCAAGUAGCUUCAUUGAGGAGCAUGAUAUUAUUUUUGGUGACUUGGAUUCUUUAACAUUGCCAAUGUUUCAGUGUGAGCUUAUUAAUUAAUAACUAUAGAAGAAUAUCUGUGAAUAGAA
This 221-nucleotide unclassified non-coding RNA is filed under the name Hevea brasiliensis (rubber tree). Lineage: Eukaryota; Viridiplantae; Streptophyta; Magnoliopsida; Malpighiales; Euphorbiaceae. The record is from RNAcentral.